This 407-nucleotide ribosomal RNA is filed under the name uncultured bacterium. RNAcentral describes it as "bacterial SSU rRNA". It matches the Rfam family "Bacterial small subunit ribosomal RNA", at positions 354 to 776 of the family's 1533-position model. The record is from RNAcentral.
GUGGGGGAUAUUGCACAAUGGGGGAAACCCUGAUGCAGCGACGCCGCGUGGGCGAAGAAGUAUUUCGGUAUGUAAAGCCCUAUCAGCAGGGAAGAAGAAAUGACGGUACCUGAGUAAGAAGCACCGGCUAAAUACGUGCCAGCAGCCGCGGUAAUACGUAUGGUGCAAGCGUUAUCCGGAUUUACUGGGUGUAAAGGGAGCGCAGGCGGCACGGCAAGCCUGAUGUGAAAGCCCGCGGCCCAACCGCGGGACUGCAUUGGGAACUACCGGGCUGGAGUGCCGGAGAGGUAGGCGGAAUUCCUAGUGUAGCGGUGAAAUGCGUAGAUAUUAGGAGGAACACCAGUGGCGAAGGCGGCCUACUGGACGGUGACUGACGCUGAGGCUCGAAAGCGUGGGGAGCAAACAGG